GACGAAGGGGGCUAGCGUUGUUCGGAAUUACUGGGCGUAAAGCGGGUGUAGGUGGUUGUCACAGUCAGGUGUGAAAGCCUUGAGCUCAACUCAAGAAAUGCACUUGAUACUAGGCGACUAGAGGACCGGAGAGGAUAGUGGAAUUCCCAGUGUAGUGGUGAAAUACGUAGAGAUUGGGAAGAACACCAGUGGCGAAGGCGGCUAUCUGGACGGUUUCUGACACUAAGACUCGAAAGCGUGGGGAGCAAACAGG
This 253-nucleotide ribosomal RNA is filed under the name uncultured bacterium. RNAcentral describes it as "partial 16S ribosomal RNA". It matches the Rfam family "Bacterial small subunit ribosomal RNA", at positions 524 to 776 of the family's 1533-position model. The record is from RNAcentral.